AUCAACUUUCGAUGGUAGGAUAGAGGCCUACCAUGGUGGUAACGGGUAACGGGGUGUUAGGGCACGACACCGGAGAGGGAGCCUGAGAAACGGCUACCACAUCCAAGGAUGGCAGCAGGCGCGCAAAUUACCCAAUCCCGACACGGGGAGGUAGUGACAAUAAAUAACAAUACGGGGUUCUUUCGGAUCUCGUAAUUGGAAUGAGUACAAUUUAAAUCUCUUAACGAGGAACAAUUGGAGGGCAAGUCUGGUGCCAGCAGCCGCGGUAAUUCCAGCUCCAAUAGCGUAUAUUAAAGUUGUUGCAGUUAAAAAGCUCGUAGUUGAAUUUCGGGACCAAUUUGUUGGUCGUGCCUCGGUACGUACUGGUAUUAUUGGUUUCUACCUUCUGAAGAACCUUGAUGUCAUUAAUUUGGUGUCUUGGGGAAUCAGGACUGUUACUUUGAAAAAAUUAGAGUGUUUAAAGCAAGCGUACGCUUGAAUACAUUAGCAUGGAAUAAUGAAAUAGGACGUUUGAUUCUAUUUUGUUGGUUUCUAGGAUCGACGUAAUGACUAAUAGGGAUAGUUGGGGGCAUUAGUAUUCAAUUGUCAGAGGUGAAAUUCUUGGAUUUAUUGAAGACUAACUACUGCGAAAGCAUUUGCCAAGGAUGUUUUCAUUAAUCAAGAACGAAAGUUAGGGGAUCGAAGACGAUCAGAUACCGUCGUAGUCUUAACCAUAAACUAUGCCGACUAGGGAUCGGAUGAUGUUAAUUUUUUAAUGACUCAUUCGGCGCCUUACGGGAAACCAAAGUGUUUGGGUUC
Molecule: ribosomal RNA, 798 nt
Filed under: uncultured Glomus
Lineage: Eukaryota; Fungi; Glomeromycota; Glomeromycetes; Glomerales; Glomeraceae
Description: SSU rRNA
Rfam family: Eukaryotic small subunit ribosomal RNA
Source: RNAcentral